RNAcentral lists this unclassified non-coding RNA (307 nucleotides) under plant metagenome. RNAcentral's name for it is "partial contains 5.8S ribosomal RNA, internal transcribed spacer 2, and large subunit ribosomal RNA". The stretch from base 1 to 105 matches the Rfam family "5.8S ribosomal RNA", at positions 50 to 154 of the family's 154-position model. The record is from RNAcentral.
GAAAUGCGAUAAGUAGUGUGAAUUGCAGAAUUCAGUGAAUCAUCGAAUCUUUGAACGCACAUUGCGCCCUUUGGUAUUCCAAAGGGCAUGCCUGUUCGAGCGUCAUUUGUACCCUCAAGCUUUGUUUGGUGUUGGGCGUCUUGUCUCUAGCUUUGCUGGAGACUCGCCUUAAAGUAAUUGGCAGCCGGCCUACUGGUUUCGGAGCGCAGCACAAGUCGCACUCUCUAUCAGCAAAGGUCUAGCAUCCAUUAAGCCUUUUUUCAACUUUUGACCUCGGAUCAGGUAGGGAUACCCGCUGAACUUAAGC